Molecule: unclassified non-coding RNA, 344 nt
Filed under: fungal sp.
Lineage: Eukaryota; Fungi
Description: partial internal transcribed spacer region
Rfam family: Eukaryotic small subunit ribosomal RNA (bases 1-46)
Source: RNAcentral
AAGUCGUAACAAGGUUUCCGUAGGUGAACCUGCGGAAGGAUCAUUAACACGUAUCCAACGUUAAACAACCCUGUGAACUUUCAACACCGCCGGAAUGAGAUUUCCAACUCCGGUGAAGGCAAGUGACCUGGCACCUGGACACAUCAAAGCUCUGACAGAGUGCCUCUGGAUUGUGCUUGAAGGGUGACGCAGUAACGAUCGCUGGAGGCCCACACGGCCGGCGACUGGGUCAGCGAGCUAACGCUCCCUCAACAACCACUUAACAUGACGACAGUUCCUCUUUAACUUGAGUUGAGCUAUAACAAAAAACUAUACAACUGUUAACAAUGGAUAUCUUGAUUCUC